AUUGAACGCUGGCGGCAUGCGUAACACAUGCAAGUCGAACGGUGUUUGGUGCUUGCACCAGACAUAGUGGCGGACGGGUGAGUAAUGCGUAGGAAUCUGUCUUAGAGAGGGGGACAACCCGAGGAAACUUGGGCUAAAACCGCAUAUUCUCGAGAGAGGAAAGCAGGGGACCGGAAACGGCCUUGUGCUCUAAGGUGAGCCUACGUCGGAUUAGCUAGUUGGUAGGGUAAAGCCUACCAAGGCGAUGAUCUGUAGCUGGCCUGAGAGGACGGACAGCCACACUGGGACUGAGACACGGCCCAGACUCCUACGGGAGGCAGCAGUGGGGAAUAUUGGACAAUGGGGGAACCCUGAUCCAGCGAUGCCGCGUGUGUGAAGAAGGCCUGCGGGUUGUAAAGCACUUUCAGUGGGAAAGAGAAGCGUCUUGUGAAU
This 432-nucleotide ribosomal RNA is filed under the name uncultured bacterium. RNAcentral describes it as "bacterial SSU rRNA". It matches the Rfam family "Bacterial small subunit ribosomal RNA", at positions 30 to 464 of the family's 1533-position model. The record is from RNAcentral.